This is a non-coding RNA of Paenibacillus yonginensis, 365 nucleotides long. It matches the Rfam family "transfer-messenger RNA". From Rfam's summary of the family: Bacterial tmRNA, also known as 10Sa RNA or SsrA, is named for its dual tRNA and mRNA-like properties. Lineage: Bacteria; Bacillati; Bacillota; Bacilli; Caryophanales; Paenibacillaceae. The record is from Rfam.
GGGGGCGUUUUUGGAUUCGACGGGGGUUGUUCGAGCAUGGGUAGCGGGUAGUGGGGACGCGUCCACUUCAUCAACGCUAAAGCCUAUUAAACGGCAAACAACAAUCUAACUACGCUCUCGCAGCUUAAUAACCUGCAGACGUGCUCUCGCUCUGCAUCGCCCAUGUGCCGGGAUGAGGGCUCAACCUAUAGUGGGAUACGCUGUCUAGUCUCCGCCUGCGGCUAGCUGAAGAAGACAACCAGGCUGACCCAAAGGGAAUCCGGUGACGGGGAGUUCCUAGGGUGACAUCAAAACUGUCACUACACCCGUAGAAACCUAUGUGGCGUUGCCUUCGGACAGGGGUUCGACUCCCCUCGCCUCCAUAU